UACGAAGGGGGCUAGCGUUGCUCGGAAUCACUGGGCGUAAAGGGUGCGUAGGCGGGGCUUGAAGUCAGGGGUGAAAUCCUGGAGCUCAACUCCAGAACUGCCUUUGAUACUGAAGAUCUUGAGUUCGGGAGAGGUGAGUGGAACUGCGAGUGUAGAGGUGAAAUUCGUAGAUAUUCGCAAGAACACCAGUGGCGAAGGCGGCUCACUGGCCCGAUACUGACGCUGAGGCACGAAAGCGUGGGGAGCAAACAGG
RNAcentral lists this ribosomal RNA (253 nucleotides) under uncultured bacterium. Its description in RNAcentral is "partial 16S ribosomal RNA". It matches the Rfam family "Bacterial small subunit ribosomal RNA", at positions 524 to 776 of the family's 1533-position model. The record is from RNAcentral.